GUCCAGUUCACCAGAAGAAAAUCAAACUUUCAGAACGGGUGGCCACUCCGAAUUCCCUCACAGCUCGAAGCCCACUAUGGUUGGGGAUUACCUGCGUGGAUGAAAAUAAAAAGGGUGAGUUUGGGGAAACUCAGUGUGUAAGGAAAACCCAUUCAAAGCCCAAGUCUGAUCAAGCCUAUUGGGCCUAAGCCCAUUAAGGUAACAGUGGUACUGGACCAGAGCCCUUUUCAGAUUACAAUAAACUGGGCCUUAGCCCCUUAUUCAGAUAACAGUAUGGCCCAUAGGCCCAUUUUAAAAUACAUGCAACAUCAAUAACAUAUGCAAGCCCAUUUGGGGAGACUACUCAACCCACCAACCACUACACUCCACCCGUACCAGCCUUACACUCUAUGUGGGGAAUAGCUCAACCCACCCAGCCCAACACUCCACAGUUGCAGCCUUGCUGCUCAGUUAACAGUAAAUUGAGGCAAAGCCUCCAGUACGUGGACAAGCCACUUUCAGUACUUCCUCCGUCAAUAUCCCAAUCCCAUGCAUCAGAUAAUAACAACAUGGCAUGCAAUAAAUAACAACAGUCAAACAUGCAUUUAGGUCAAUUUAACCCUAGGGGUAUUUUGGUAAUUUAUCUACUAGGGGUAAAAUUGUAAAUUUUCCACUUUUAAAGGUAUUUCAGUAAUUUAUCUAUUUUAGGGUUUUUCAUGCAUAUUCCUACUUUUCACGUACUAACAAAAUCACAUACCGAGGGUUCUUACCGAAUUGGGCCCGUUGGCCCAUCAUUCCAAUUUUGGCUCAUUAAGCCCAAAAAUAUCGAGGGCACAGAAAUCAUGCACUUUACAGUCCAAAUUUUGCAGCUUACCAAAAACAUUAAUCGAUUUACCUCACGAGCAUUCGUACACUCGCAAAUCUAUAAAAUACCGGUUUUCGGCAUUUCGGCUUUUCGACUUUUGCCGAUCCAGACUAAGAAAGAGGGUGUUAGUUACACACCUGUUUGCGACGAUAUGCUGACGAGAUCCACACACGAACUGCCUACAAUUGGAUUACUAACACAUUAAUCUAACUAUUCAAAUACAAACUACGUAUUAACCCCUUACAAUAUUCGGCCAACCACACCUACAGAUCAUAGUAAGCUUAUAAGAAAUCAAUAAGCAACUCAUUAACAAAUUUUUGUCAAUGUUUACCACAUAAUCAUAAUCUCACUGCAAGCUGUCUUCCUGAACAACAGUCACUAAAUCAUUUAUAACUGGAGCUACGAAACUCCAAAUCAAGUGCCGUUAAUUUUCCUUGAAAAUAGACUCAUAUAUCUUAUAUUCAUAAAAUUUUCAGAAUUUUUGGUUUAGCCAAUCAAUACCAGAUUUUUCUUAAUGUUUCCCAUGUUUCACUGUUUGACUAAUCUGACCACUCUUCAUUACGAAUCAAAUUUCUCAUUGUACAGAAUUCAAAAUAUGUUCUCGUUUAUUUCAUUUGAAACUAGACUCAACAAGAUUUAAUUACAUAAUUUAUUCAGCUUCUAACUCAUCUCCCACAAUUUAUGGUGAUUUUCCAAAUUCACGUUACUGCUGCUGUCCCAAGCAGAUUUAUUACCAAAUCACUCUUUCACACAUAACUUGCAUGUAUGUUUUUUUUAAACAUGUAUAUCACCAAUCAAUCAUCACAUAUCUAUGAUUUUACUUAAGUAUAAUCUCCAUUUAAUCAUUUUAAAGAACAACAUAUUAGCCGAUUUUUUUCCCUUUAGCAUCUAAGGCACAUGCAUGCUCAUUUGUUUGGCUCAACUUCACCUAUCUUCCAUUUUUCAUCAAAAGAACAUGAAACAACAACCAUUUCCUUCAUUUUAAUUCAUGACUAAAUGCUCACAACACAACUAAAAACCAAAAUAUGCUUCAAGAGUUAAGGUAGAAUCAAGAACUCAUGAAUUUCAAAAUAGAAGCAAGGUACCAUGAACUUACCUUCAAUUUUUUUCCCCAAGUGACCGAACAUUCAAGAGCUUUCUCCUCUCCUUUCUCUUCUCUAACUUUAGGCUAUGAUGAACAAAGAUAGACAAAACUUUGUUCUUUU
Molecule: long non-coding RNA, 2049 nt
Filed under: Gossypium barbadense (sea-island cotton)
Lineage: Eukaryota; Viridiplantae; Streptophyta; Magnoliopsida; Malvales; Malvaceae
Description: long non-coding RNA (GBAR_LNC010429)
Source: RNAcentral